CACUCCGAUCAAUUCCCAUCAAUCUCCAAAGUUAGUGUGAUUUCACACAAGGCAACUCCUAUUCCAUAUUCAUCAGUGCCCAUCUCAAGCACUCCAUAUAAAACAGCUUAUGCCACACCAAACUAUUCACCUGCACAGCGAGCUAGCCCUCUCAGGGUAGAAAAAUCACCUUUCAUGACCAAUGCCAAGAUUUCUCCUCAGCGUGGAUUAGGCGUAAAGAAGGUUCUGACUGAUUAUCUUAGCAUUGAUACAAAAGGAAAGAACUACAGCAACUCGACUGAGUCACCAGGUUCAGUCUCGGACACGAUACAAGCAACUCUUGCAUCUCAAAUGCGACGAGGUUCUUUUGAGUCUUCAAGCGCAUCAAGCAGCCCGGUGACUCAGGACUCAGACACACAGGAAAGGAUCCACAUUUAGGUUGUUGGCUCUUGUUAGAACAAGAUGUGUGUAAUGGUGUUGAGUUGAGAAGUUCAUAUUUGUAAUGUGCAUUACUUGUAUUUCCAGUUUUGAGUUUGUUCCCGAGUCACUGUCUGGCAUGGGUCAAGCAGUGAUUGUAAAGAGAGAACUAAUUCCUACACUACUACUUUGGACAGAGUAUAUGAAGUUCUGUUGCUUUCUCAUGCAGCCUGUGGAUCUGAUAGUCAGUGCAUGAUAUCACUAGAGCAUUUUGAUUACAUCAAGUUGGGUUUGCAACUCGGUGUUCAAUAUUUAAUCUUUGGCGACGUGAUCCCUCAGCAAGCUCAAGUGUAGCUCUAGCCCUGCAUCUGUAUGUCCAUUUAGGUUGCACACCCCUGUACUUGCAACUAGACUUAAAUCACAAGUGACCUGUGAUCCCAAAUCUCAUCGCAUUCAAGUAUCAAAUUUGAUGCAUGCUGUAAAGCUCGGUUCUUCUCUGCAUCCAUAUCCUUAUCUCGAUCAUCUCCUUCCUUCUAGCACGUUCAAGACGUGAGGCUGCACCCAAGUUGUAGU
Molecule: long non-coding RNA, 969 nt
Filed under: Fragaria vesca (wild strawberry)
Lineage: Eukaryota; Viridiplantae; Streptophyta; Magnoliopsida; Rosales; Rosaceae
Description: long non-coding RNA (FVES_LNC002858)
Source: RNAcentral